AAAAGCGCGCGUAGGUGGCUUGAUAAGCCGGUUGUGAAAGCCCCGGGCUCAACCUGGGAACGGCAUCCGGAACUGUCAGGCUAGAGUGCAGGAGAGGAAGGUAGAAUUCCCGGUGUAGCGGUGAAAUGCGUAGAGAUCGGGAGGAAUACCAGUGGCGAAGGCGGCCUUCUGGACUGACACUGACACUGAGGUGCGAAAGCGUGGGUAGCAAACAGGAUUAGAUACCCUGGUAGUCCACGCCGUAAACGAUGUCGACCAGCCGUUGGGUGCCUAGCGCACUUUGUGGCGAAGUUAACGCGAUAAGUCGACCGCCUGGGGAGUACGGCCGCAAGGUUAAAACUCAAAUGAAUUGACGGGGGCCCGCACAAGCGGUGGAGCAUGUGGUUUAAUUCGAUGCAACGCGAAGAACCUUACCUACUCUUGACAUCCUGCGAACUUGUGAGAGAUCACUUGGUGCCUUCGGGAGCGCAGAGACAGGUGCUGCAUGGCUGUCGUCAGCUCGUGUUGUGAAAUGUUGGGUUAAGUCCCGUAACGAGCGCAACCCUUGUCCUUAUUUGCCAGCGGGUAAUGCCGGGAACUCUAAGGAGACUGCCGGUGACAAACCGGAGGAAGGUGGGGACGACGUCAAGUCAUCAUGGCCCUUACGAGUAGGGCUACACACGUGCUACAAUGGCCGGUACAAAGGGUUGCGAGCUCGCGAGAGUCAGCUAAUCCCGAAAAGCCGGUCUCAGUCCGGAUCGGAGUCUGCAACUCGACUCCGUGAAGUCGGAAUCGCUAGUAAUCGUGAAUCAGAAUGUCACGGUGAAUACGUUCCCGGGCCUUGUACACACCGCCCGU
Molecule: ribosomal RNA, 837 nt
Filed under: uncultured bacterium
Lineage: Bacteria
Description: bacterial SSU rRNA
Rfam family: Bacterial small subunit ribosomal RNA
Source: RNAcentral